UGGGGAAUUUUCCGCAAUGGGCGAAAGCCUGACGGAGCAAUACCGCGUGAGGGAAGAAUGCCUAUGGGUUGUAAACCUCUUUUUUCAGGGAGGAAUAUAAUGACGUGUACCUGAAGAAUAAGCAUCGGCUAACUCC
RNAcentral lists this ribosomal RNA (136 nucleotides) under uncultured phototrophic eukaryote. Its description in RNAcentral is "partial 16S ribosomal RNA". It matches the Rfam family "Bacterial small subunit ribosomal RNA", at positions 355 to 504 of the family's 1533-position model. The record is from RNAcentral.